UCUGGUGCUACUUGCGGCGGGGCCACACCUGAUCCCAUCCCGAACUCAGAAGUUAAGCCCGCCAGCGCCGAUGGUACUCGGACAUUAAGUCCCGGGAGAGUAGGUCAGCGCCGGAA
This 116-nucleotide ribosomal RNA is filed under the name Candidatus Falkowbacteria bacterium RIFCSPHIGHO2_02_FULL_42_9. The record is from RNAcentral. Lineage: Bacteria; Candidatus Falkowiibacteriota.